This 82-nucleotide transfer RNA is filed under the name Sphaerodactylus townsendi. Its description in RNAcentral is "tRNA-Cys". Lineage: Eukaryota; Metazoa; Chordata; Lepidosauria; Squamata; Sphaerodactylidae. The record is from RNAcentral.
UUAGGGGAGAGGCCAUGACUCAGUGACAGAGCAUCUGCUUGCAAUGCGAAAAGUUCCAGGUUCAAUCCCUGGCAUCCCUAAU